RNAcentral lists this small RNA (192 nucleotides) under Paenibacillus sp. Its description in RNAcentral is "c-di-AMP sequence". It matches the Rfam family "c-di-AMP riboswitch aptamer (ydaO/yuaA leader)". Rfam says of the family: This family represents a conserved RNA structure found upstream of the ydaO and yuaA genes in Bacillus subtilis and related genes in other bacteria. The ydaO/yuaA element is thought to act as a genetic "off" switch for the ydaO and yuaA genes in its native state. RNAcentral also lists the same sequence under 1 other name. The record is from RNAcentral. Lineage: Bacteria; Bacillati; Bacillota; Bacilli; Caryophanales; Paenibacillaceae.
UUUCCAACAUCGCUGAGUUUCCGCAAGGGAAACGGGGGAACCACAUCACGGCAGAUCGGCUUGGUCGAUUCCGGGAUGUUUUUUUAGGGGUGAAUCCUUGGUGUGCAUGAUAUUUAAUGUGCGCGCUGGGGUAGGGCGACUCUCAAGUCCGAAUCCGUCAGCUAACCUCGUAAGCGUCCAGAGAGAGGUAAC